CACUCCUACGGGAGGCAGCAGUGGGGAAUAUUGCACAAUGGGCGCAAGCCUGAUGCAGCCAUGCCGCGUGUAUGAAGAAGGCCUUCGGGUUGUAAAGUACUUUCAGCGGGGAGGAAGGCGAUAAGGUUAAUAACCUUGUUGAUUGACGUUACCCGCAGAAGAAGCACCGGCUAACUCCGUGCCAGCAGCCGCGGUAAUACGGAGGGUGCAAGCGUUAAUCGGAAUUACUGGGCGUAAAACGCACGCAGGCGGUCUGUCAAGUCGGAUGUGAAAUCCCCGGGCUCAACCUGGGAACUGCAUUCGAAACUGGCAGGCUAGAGUCUUGUAGAGGGGGGUAGAAUUCCAGGUGUAGCGGUGAAAUGCGUAGAGAUCUGGAGGAAUACCGGUGGCGAAGGCGGCCCCCUGGACAAAGACUGACGCUCAGGUGCGAAAGCGUGGGGAGCAAACAGGAUUAGAUACCCCUGUAGUCCCA
This 472-nucleotide ribosomal RNA is filed under the name uncultured organism. Its description in RNAcentral is "partial 16S ribosomal RNA". It matches the Rfam family "Bacterial small subunit ribosomal RNA", at positions 334 to 797 of the family's 1533-position model. The record is from RNAcentral.